This is a long non-coding RNA of Aptenodytes forsteri (emperor penguin), 1353 nucleotides long. RefSeq lists it as uncharacterized. NCBI's taxonomy places the organism in Eukaryota, Metazoa, Chordata, Aves, Sphenisciformes, Spheniscidae. The transcript has 3 exons. The record is from RefSeq and is a predicted model, not a curated record.
GGCAGAGCCCAGAAAAACUUUGCUUUGUGGUCUGGCAAGACCAGUGGUUAUGACUUAAAAUGAAGAGAUGGGAAUAAACUUCUCAUGGAGGCACCCAACUCAUCACUCAUCUGACAGCACAUGUAGAAAGAAGGAGAGGAAACAGUACCAAAGAUAUCCGAAUAAUGGUACUAAUCACACAGACCGAAAAGGAGGAAAGAAAGAUUCAGCACAUUCAGAACUGGAAAGUGAGCUGUGGCAGGGAACAUCUGCAAGGAACAAAUGUUUCAAUGACAAGCUGCCAUCCUUACUGUUACAUAAAGAAGUGGUGUAGUCUGAGAAGGAAACAGACAACACCUACUAACAGUAUCAUAAAAUCAAGGAAUAUGUAGCAAGGUAAUUCACCAUCUGUGUUCCAGUUAAAGACCGCCAAAAGUGCUUGAGAGCUCAUCAUUAUCAUCAUUAAUUGAAUCUGAUAUCAAGAAGGGGCCAAAUUUGACUGAAUCCUUCCAUGCAUCAGGGGACUUCUAAGGGCUCUUUCCCGGUUUAAUUCUUUGGUACUUAAUCAAGUAUAAGUUCUAAUGGUAAUUUACCUUUCAUUAGGACACAUACUCCUCUACCCAGCCAGAUUUUAAUGAUGUACUUAAGAAUUUCUUUAUGAAAUUUCCACCUCUGUGUCAAAUUAGUCUGAAAUCAGUUAACAGGUUCAAAAGUUAUUAGAAUUUUAGGGACAGAUGUGGCAGACAAACACAUUAAGAUGAGACAGAACAAAUAUGAAAAUCUUCUUAAAGAAACAUAAAUGUAAAAGAUAAUAAAGAAUAUUUAUUCAUUUAUUAAAAUUCCUGGGUAAUGUUCUAUUUUGAUUUAUGAUUCAUAAAUCAGUAAAUUUUCCUUAUCAAUAUCAAAUAAUUAUCCUUCUUGUUGCUGUAAUCCAAAAAUAAUCUUGUAACACUAGUCAUAACUAGAAGUAGUUGUGAUUCUGGGGAAGGUCUAUUACUAGGAUAAGUACGUGGUGAUAUGUCAUAUUCUGUACAGAAAAAUAUUUAAUUAGAAUGCAUUUUGAGGUUAGACUGGAUAUGCUCUCUGAUGUCUUCUAAAAACCUAAUGGAAUUUAGUGUCAAGAACUAAUACUUUUAAACUUGUUUUUUACUUUACUUGGCUAAAUGUUACAACUGAUUCCUAGGCUGAUGUGGGAAAAAAUGUUAAUUUUGAAUCAAUCCUGAAAGGAAAAGAAGACGCAGGAAAACUUAAACAAGGUAUCAUUAUGACCAUUUAUUAUGUUUAUUGCUAGCUACAGAGAUAUGUACUAUCUUACUGAUGUCAAAAAAAGAACAAAGAUUAUUUUAGCAUAUGUAAUAAAGAAACAUUCUUUUG